RNAcentral lists this small RNA (216 nucleotides) under Vibrio jasicida. RNAcentral's name for it is "PAGEV". It matches the Rfam family "PAGEV RNA". The record is from RNAcentral. Lineage: Bacteria; Pseudomonadati; Pseudomonadota; Gammaproteobacteria; Vibrionales; Vibrionaceae.
CUUUGUUUGGAUUCAAGAUGUUUUGGACAAAGCGACGCGCAUCAGCUACCGACCAAGGGAUAUUCCAUAGGUAGCAGGUAAAGGCACUAAUCACAACUACGCAUACGCGCGAUAAAACCGCCCCUUUUUGCUGCUAGAGGGGAUAGGCGGAAAAGGAAUAACUGAUUAGUGUUGUGUGACUGGAAUGGGGCGUAAAGCUUUACACACAGCGCAGGG